AUACAAAGUUUUAUGUGUGCUUCUAGACCAUUUUCUACUUCCAUCAGAGGGAAAAUAAUAUAUGCUGUUUUUUUCAUAGUUCGUGCAUCGUGGACGGAGUGAUGUUUUACUGUAAUUAUUAUUUAUUUUAAUGCAAAUGAAGAUUUAUUAUUCAUCUACCUUGGUAGAAUUCUUUGUUUAGGUAACGGAUGUGUUUGCGUGCUUAGGAAGUGUAUUAGGUGAGACCGUGCUCCUAUGAGACGAGCCAUAUUUUUAUUUAUAUAUAGAUGUUCAAGAAUACCUCACCCGUUAUGCUGUCACUUCAUACGACACAUAUACACAGAUAAAUAGAUGCUUGAAGCCAUGAACAUAUUUGUAUCCAUAGAUACUCUAACGUGUGCUUUUAACUCUUCAUAUUCACAAGCACAAACAUCUUAUUGGUCAUGAUCUUUUUAUGUUUUUAUUGUAAAUUUUUGGUAUGCCGAACAUUUUCAUCAAAUAGUUAUUGUGAAGAAUAGAAGUAUCUAUCUCAAUGUCAAAUACUUAACCAAAAAUGAAAUAGCAAAUUUUGCAACACUUAUCAUGUUAAAUCAGAUAUUUUCAAUUUUUUUCUUUAAAUUAUGUAAGUUUGUGACUCUUUAUGAAUUCUAUAGGAUGUAAAUUGUAGUGUCCUAUAAUCUAUAGUGCGUUGGAAUUUAUGUCUUAGGAGAAUUGAUCGCUUUCUUUUUCUUUCUAAGCCAAGGAAGUUACAAAAAUUAAAAGGGAUUUUUUUCUAAAAUACCCAACACUCAUAUAGAAUCAAGUCUCACAAUAUACUCCUAAUUGAUAGAAUGAGAAGCUUUAAACACUAGACCAUGUUGCUUAAUAAAGCCACUUGUUGGUAACCAAUUGUUGUAAUGAAACCCACAUUUGCUGUGCUUAUGAUACUGCUGCACAUGUUGAUACUCAUCUACAUGCUAAAUUAUAAGUCUUCUUGUUCUAUCUUAUUUAGGGUUGCUGCAUACUUCUCAUAUUUGAUAUAAAUGUAUUCUGACAUGACUGUAUGGAUUGAUUUUUUCCAUAGCCC
This 1045-nucleotide long non-coding RNA is filed under the name Phaseolus vulgaris (common bean). RNAcentral describes it as "long non-coding RNA (PVUL_LNC004196)". Lineage: Eukaryota; Viridiplantae; Streptophyta; Magnoliopsida; Fabales; Fabaceae. The record is from RNAcentral.